GGCGCUAUAGCCAAGUGGUUACGGCGACAGAUUCGAAUCUCAAGUCGAAAUCUGUUCCUCUUUGAGGGCGCAGGUUCAAAUCCUGCUGGCGUCG
This is a non-coding RNA of Marasmius sp. AFHP31, 94 nucleotides long. NCBI's taxonomy places the organism in Eukaryota, Fungi, Basidiomycota, Agaricomycetes, Agaricales, Marasmiaceae. The record is from the annotation of a GenBank genome assembly.